AUUGAACGCUGGCGGCAUGCCUAACACAUGCAAGUCGAACGGUAACAGGAAACGCCUUCCUGUUUCGCGUACGAGGCGGGCGCGUGUGUGAAAUGUCGGUGAAACAGCCUUAUGGAUGGGGUUAACUACUGGAAACGUUACCUAAUACCGCAAAACUUCUCAACACCAAGGAUCGAGAGCGUCGGACGGCCUUCCUGCCAAUUAUCCCUGGUGGCAUUAGCUAGUAGGUAGGGUAACGGCUCACGUAGGCAACGAUGCAUAGCUGAUCUGAGAGGGUGACCGGCCACACUGGAACUGAGACACGGUCCAGACUCCUACGGGAGGCAGCAGUGGGGAAUAUUGCACAAUGGGCGAAAGCCUGACGGAGCAAUGCCGCGUGUAUGAAGAAGGCCUUCGGGUCGUAAAGUUCUGUCAGUGGGGAGGAAGGUAGUUAAAUUAAACCGUUCACAUCUUGACGUUACCCGAAGAAGAAGCCACGGCUAACUACGUG
Molecule: ribosomal RNA, 490 nt
Filed under: uncultured bacterium
Lineage: Bacteria
Description: partial 16S ribosomal RNA
Rfam family: Bacterial small subunit ribosomal RNA
Source: RNAcentral